AUCGUUUCUCAGCUCUCCAAGCAAAGAUCGUGUGUGGCAUCUGUUCUUUGCGGCGCAACUUCUGCAACGGUCCCUGAUUUGAGACCUGUAAAAUUACCUGUGCUUUCAAACUGAAACCAGUGCUGUGAGCCUGCUCAACGCCGGAAAUGGGUCGGCUUCGUGUUAAAUUACUUCGCUCAUUGGCUCAUUGAUG
This 193-nucleotide small nuclear RNA is filed under the name Taenia asiatica. RNAcentral describes it as "U2 spliceosomal RNA". It matches the Rfam family "U2 spliceosomal RNA". From Rfam's summary of the family: U2 is a small nuclear RNA (snRNA) component of the spliceosome (involved in pre-mRNA splicing). Complementary binding between U2 snRNA (in an area lying towards the 5' end but 3' to hairpin I) and the branchpoint sequence (BPS) of the intron results the bulging out of an unpaired adenosine, on the BPS, which initiates a nucleophilic attack at the intronic 5' splice site, thus starting the first of two transesterification reactions that mediate splicing. The record is from Rfam by way of RNAcentral. Lineage: Eukaryota; Metazoa; Platyhelminthes; Cestoda; Cyclophyllidea; Taeniidae.